ACUCAAAUGAAUAGACGGGGGCUCACACAAGCGGUGGAGCAUGUGGCUUAAUUCGAGGCUACGCGCAAAACCUUAUCCCGGGCUUGACAUGCACGGAUUAGCCGGCGGAAACGUCGGUGACGCGCAAGUGGAACGUGCACAGGUGCUGCAUGGCUGUCGUCAGCUCGUGUCGUGAGAUGUUGGGUUAAGUCCCGUAACGAGCGCAACCCUUGUGUCCAGUUGCCAACAGGUCAAGCUGGGGACUCUGGACAGACCGCCGGCGUUAAGCCGGAGGAAGGCGGGGAUGACGUCAAGUCCUCAUGGCCCUUAUGCCCGGGGCUGCACACGUGCUACAAUGGGGCGGACAAAGCGAAGCCAAGCCGCAAGGCCGCGCCAAUCGCAAAAACCGCUCCUCAGUUCGGAUUGCGGGCUGCAACCCGCCCGCAUGAAGCUGGAAUCGCUAGUAAUCGCGGAUCAGCAUGCCGCGGUGAAUGGGUUCCUGAGCCUUGUACACACCGCCCGU
RNAcentral lists this ribosomal RNA (502 nucleotides) under uncultured bacterium. RNAcentral describes it as "partial 16S ribosomal RNA". It matches the Rfam family "Bacterial small subunit ribosomal RNA", at positions 899 to 1397 of the family's 1533-position model. The record is from RNAcentral.